GCACCUAUAGCUCAGUUGGUUAGAGCAAAUCACUCAUAAUGAUUAGGCCCUAGGUUCAAGUCCUAGUGGGUGCA
RNAcentral lists this transfer RNA (74 nucleotides) under bacterium. RNAcentral's name for it is "tRNA-Ile". It matches the Rfam family "tRNA". From Rfam's summary of the family: Transfer RNA (tRNA) molecules are approximately 80 nucleotides in length. Their secondary structure includes four short double-helical elements and three loops (D, anti-codon, and T loops). Further hydrogen bonds mediate the characteristic L-shaped molecular structure. tRNAs have two regions of fundamental functional importance: the anti-codon, which is responsible for specific mRNA codon recognition, and the 3' end, to which the tRNAs corresponding amino acid is attached (by aminoacyl-tRNA synthetases). tRNAs cope with the degeneracy of the genetic code in two manners: having more than one tRNA (with a specific anti-codon) for a particular amino acid; and 'wobble' base-pairing, i.e. permitting non-standard base-pairing at the 3rd anti-codon position. RNAcentral also lists the same sequence under 1 other name. The record is from RNAcentral.